UUCAGAAUUAACACACAUCAUGUAAUAAGGCCCUUCUGGAUAGCAGGCCCAUGCAAGGUAUCAAUACUGUUCUGUCAGUUUUAAGUGGUAUAAUAAUGAAGUAUUGAUAUAACUACCAAGGAUGAAAACAAGAUAUUUAAGAGUAUGAAGGAGAGCCAUAGCUGUGAAGCUGAAUGAUACUCCCAUGAAACAGCAUUUAGAAGUAAGAUUAGACCUCAGCAAGUCAUGAAUAUGACAGUAUACUUAUGCUUUCCUCUUCUGCCAAUAUAACACAAAGCCUUCAAGAUGCUCUUCCAGCAGUGCCAGAGUGAACAAAGUUUGGUUUCAUAAGUGUCAAAUAUUUGACAGAUGCUUCAGUAUUUCUAUACUAGAAUUGAUGGCCAGUUUUAAUCUCAUCUUUUGCCUCUAUUUACACAAGGUAAGCAGCUGUUGUUAGCUAUAUUUUUUUUUUUUUUUGUCUGUACCAUGCAAAAAUAAUCAACUUGCUGCAGUUUCUUGGUUCAGGGUUGCCAGUUUCCCACCUGCUUCAUUUGCAGAUGGAGCUCCACAGUCAGGUCAACUAAAACAAGGGUUUAC
Long non-coding RNA from Aquila chrysaetos chrysaetos, 576 nucleotides. RefSeq lists it as uncharacterized. NCBI's taxonomy places the organism in Eukaryota, Metazoa, Chordata, Aves, Accipitriformes, Accipitridae. The transcript has 3 exons. The record is from RefSeq and is a predicted model, not a curated record.